Molecule: unclassified non-coding RNA, 352 nt
Filed under: soil metagenome
Description: partial contains 5.8S ribosomal RNA, internal transcribed spacer 2, and large subunit ribosomal RNA
Rfam family: 5.8S ribosomal RNA (bases 1-120)
Source: RNAcentral
GAUGAAGAACGCAGUGAAAUGCGAUAAGUAAUGUGAAUUGCAGAAUUCAGUGAAUCAUCGAAUCUUUGAACGCACAUUGCGCCCGCCAGUAUUCUGGCGGGCAUGCCUGUUCGAGCGUCAUUACAACCCUCAGGCCCCCGGGCCUGGCGUUGGGGAUCGGCGGAGCCCCCCGUGGGCACACGCCGUCCCCCAAAUGCAGUGGCGGUCCCGCCGCAGCUUCCAUCGCGUAGUAGCUAACACCUCGCGACUGGAGAGCGGCGCGGCCACGCCGUAAAACACCCAUCUCUUCUGAAGUUGACCUCGAAUCAGGUAGGAAUACCCGCUGAACUUAAGCAUAUCAAUAAGCGGAGGA